RNAcentral lists this unclassified non-coding RNA (294 nucleotides) under uncultured fungus. RNAcentral's name for it is "partial contains 5.8S ribosomal RNA, internal transcribed spacer 2, and large subunit ribosomal RNA". Lineage: Eukaryota; Fungi. The record is from RNAcentral.
AACGCACCUUGCGCUCCUUGGUAUUCCUUGGAGCAUGCCUGUUUGAGAGUCUUGAAUAUCUCUGCUCUUAUUUUUUUAAUUAAGAAAUAACGAGUCAGGUCCUUGGGCCUGCUUGCGGUUUGGUUACAAACACAAGCUUGCCUUAAAUGAAUUAGCUGAGCUUCAGCAGAGUUGUUAAGUAACAUUGAAAACUCUCGUAAGAAGAAGCUUGCUCUCUAAUCUUUGUCGUCUUUUGUGAACGAUAAUAUUUUCUAUUUUGGCCUCAAAUCAGGUAGGACUACCCGCUGAACUUAA